Molecule: long non-coding RNA, 988 nt
Filed under: Ananas comosus (pineapple)
Lineage: Eukaryota; Viridiplantae; Streptophyta; Magnoliopsida; Poales; Bromeliaceae
Description: long non-coding RNA (ACOM_LNC032529)
Source: RNAcentral
ACCAACUACCCACUCAACCUGACGGGACCAUUAUCAUUCUAGGUGGGAAUCACCAUCAUCCUAACCCCACAUCCCAGCAAUCAACGGUUAAAAAUUUAUGAGUACAAAGAGUCUAUACUCAUAAGAGUAUAGUAAGCUCAGCCUAUAUAUAUAUAUAUAUAUAUAUAUAAUUAGACUGGAAUACUAUUAAUAGUAAAAUCCUCUUUUUGCUAUCAAGUUUUUAGCCCUUGGAUGAAAAAUUGUAGGGUUAGAAUAAUAUUAGUCAGUUAGAGUUGAGUGGUCCCCCUAGGGUUGAGUGGUUCCCACUGGGUUAUAGUAUUUAAUCCAAUAGUUAGAAAUGAUGAAAAGAGUUAAUCCAAAGGCUAAAAAACUGGUAGCAACAAUGGAAUUUUGCUACUAAUAGUAGCCCAGUCCAACUCAUAUGGAAUUAGACUGGAAUACUAUUAGUAGUAAAACCUUCUUUUUGCUAUAAAGUUUUUAACCCUUGGAUGAAAAAUUGUAGGGUUAGGAUGAUAUUAGUCAGUUAGAGUUGAGUGGUCCCCCUAGGGUUGAGUGGUCCGUACUGGGUUAUAGUACUUAAUCCAAUGGUUAGAAAUAAUGAAAAGAGUUGAUCCAAAGGCUAAAAAACUGAUAGCAACAAUAGGAUUUUGCUACUAAUAGUAGCCCAGUCCAACUCUAUAUAUAUGUAUAGUCUUUUAUACUAUCUAUAGUACUAGAGCUCCGGUAUUAUAGUCUCGUUUUCAAUUUUAGGGUGUUCAAACCAACAAUCCACGCUGUUAAAACUAUUCUAGGGUAUCGUACAUAAUUAUUGAAUAUUGAUUUUUAGAACCAAUUAAGUAAAUAUCAGUUUUCAAGUUUCACCUUUUGUAAGACUGGUUUAUUAAAAUAGAAAAAAAAAUGGUUAAUUAAUUAAGUUGAUUUGAAGCAGUUAGAUUUUAAUAUGGCUUAAUAAAAAAAAAAUUUGAACAGUUUUGUUAAACCUGGGUCA